RNAcentral lists this long non-coding RNA (1134 nucleotides) under Junco hyemalis (dark-eyed junco). RNAcentral describes it as "lncRNA (ENSJHYG00000001573.1)". The record is from RNAcentral. Lineage: Eukaryota; Metazoa; Chordata; Aves; Passeriformes; Passerellidae.
AGGACAAUCAGGGAAAGAAGUAACUGUGUCCUAAAAUAUCAGUAGUGCACAACAGCACAAGGUCUUUGAAUUCCAACUGUUGAACAUCAUGUUAUGAGAACAUCUCCACAUGCCCAGUGAAGAUCUUUGUCCAGGUCUGCCUGCUGCUCACCAGGAUAACAGAGCAGUGUGGUGGUCAAGAGGAAUCUUCUCUUGUUUGGAGUUUUCCACUCUUAGGUAUUUGCAGAGCUUUGAACCACAAAGUGCUGUGGGUUAUUGAUGGAUUGCUGAUGUGUGUGGCUACAGGAUGCCCCGGGGUCUGUAUCCUCCUGGUGCCCACUGCAGCUCCUCUACCCACCUCAAGCACUCUCAGGUUGCUGUCCAGCUGUGCACUUAAAUCUGGUUUUAUCACACUUUCUGAGCUCAUCACAUUUAAUUCUGCCCCUACAAUGCUGGAUUAACUUUAAGGGUCGCUGAAGUCAGAAGUCACUCACCCUUGCCCUACUAAUGGAUUCCCAGAGCCCCGCACGGCCGAGCAGCACCGGGUACAGUAACCCAAAUUCAUCAUCGGGCUGAGGGGAAGGCAGAGGGGGUCUUUGGGUUCGCUCUGGGGACAUUUGCAGAGAUGACAGCACCAGGAGGUGUUGUUUUCCUCCUCCUGGGCAAUGCAGCCGGCCCAGCACUGCCCUGAGAGCUGCGAGGGAGCACAGCUGGGCCUGCCUGGGAGGAGCCAUGGCUGACUCCUGACGCUCAUGGACCUGGGCAAAUGCUCAGCUCUCUCCACCCAGAAAUCACACCCUGCUGCCCCACUCGCUCCUGCCACAACUCCCUCCCCUGGUAUUUUGUGGGCCCCAUCUCUGAUAUUUGAAGCAGUCCCAGAAGACUGAAAAAGCCCAUUUUUUUUUUUUUAUUCUAGGGAUGACUUCUUUGUUGUUACCUAGCAUCAAGAAAGCAGGACAGGGCAUAAAUGAAACUCUUCAUCUAAACAACAUUCAUCCCCAGGUUUUUAUCUCAAUCUGUUUUUAUUCUCUGACGAGCAAAGGUCAGAGAGGUUGGUGUUAGAUACUACCAAAAUAAGAUAAUUCACUGCCUUGAAAAAAAUCAUCCUGCAAACAAGCAAAUAAAGGGGAAAUCAUAUUCUAUUAAAAGAAACCC